Rosa rugosa (rugosa rose) is the source of this 1188-nucleotide long non-coding RNA. RefSeq lists it as uncharacterized. The record is from RefSeq and is a predicted model, not a curated record. Lineage: Eukaryota; Viridiplantae; Streptophyta; Magnoliopsida; Rosales; Rosaceae. The transcript is spliced from 3 exons.
UGGGAUCAUUCGUCAUUGCCUCGAGCUAGCAGAGAUCGUGUUGGAGAUGGAAGCCAAUUCUUACAAUUCGUCUUGGAGAGGGAAACUUGAAGCUUGGCUCUGCAUAAAUAGCGGGUUGCAUGCCUGUGAUGCUGUAGUUACGAACUGGGUUCAAUUCCUCAUUACGGCACUCGAUCGAUUAGUUGGUGAGCAAGAACUAAAAGCUGCUGCAACUUUUCGACUGGUUUUGGACAUUCCUCCAUAAUUCAAGUUCCAGAAAUUAAAGGUGAGGCUGUUUGCUUUAUGUUUUGCCUUUAUCCACCGCUUCCAUUAAACUCGCUGCAUUUUGAGUUUGUAAUUGCCACCACGUCAGUCCCAUAGAAACCAUAUAAUUAAACUUGCCAUCCAUAGCUUUGCCUCUAACCAUGUAUAGGAACAAUGGAAGUUUGACUUCAUUUGAUCACACCACCGAGUCGAAAUGACUACUCCCAGUUUUGUCUUAAUUGUCAAUAUCAAGGGUGAGGCCUUGUGCUAUUUUGUUUCACAUUUUGGUUGUGGUAGUUUAGGCUAUGUAUUUCUUUUUGGAAGUGGUGGUGAAUGAAAAACAGAAGUAGGGGUCUUAUGCGAUCGGUAUUGCCGAAUUUAAAGGAGGUGGAUAUGGCGUCUUGUGGUGGAAGGAGAAAAACAAGGCAGGAAGCUAGUUUGAAGGCAGUGGAUGUAUUGCAUAGGUUGUAAUAUCGAAACUCGGCCGUUCAUGAACGACCCUAUGUUCCAAUAUUUAAAACCCCAGCAGUCGUGUUGCAUUAAGACGUCGGCCGUUCAUGAACGACCACGUUAGUCUUAAUUCAAGAGAAGAUUGUUCGGCCGUUUUUGAACGACCAUGGUUGUCUCAAAAGGGUGUUGGUUGUUCAUGAACAGCCCCCUUUUGCCUUGAAGAAAACCUGUUAAUUCCCUGCCGAAGCAAGCAAGAGCAGCAUGAUCCAGUGUAUACCUUAACUUCUCCCUUCGAGCUGCUUUGAUUUCGCUCUCUGUUUUGGCAGAGUCUUGGCCUCUUGUUUUCUGAAUAUUUUUCUCCUCCCUCUCCGUGUGUUUCUCUUCGGUGUUGCUGCCUAUAUAUCGUGGUCAAUGAAUAGGUGUAACCGGAUAGUGAUAACCACUUUGUAUUUUGCAUUUAAAUUUGAAUAACAAGUCUAUCCUUAUCACUUGUUA